GUGGCUGUGUGGUGAGAAGCUUGCUUCCCAACCACAUGUCUGGUGAGACGAUUUAGCGUCUAUUUCUCAGCAUAUAGGCUGGGAAAUUUCUUUCUCAGCCCUUAUUAGAAUUAGACAUAUAAUUUCACCUUAAUCCGUUUCCUUUCAUAUGCUGGCCACUGUUAAAAUUUUUU
This is a long non-coding RNA of Octopus sinensis (East Asian common octopus), 173 nucleotides long. RefSeq lists it as uncharacterized. The transcript is spliced from 3 exons. The record is from RefSeq and is a predicted model, not a curated record. NCBI's taxonomy places the organism in Eukaryota, Metazoa, Mollusca, Cephalopoda, Octopoda, Octopodidae.